ACGAACGCUGGCGGCGUGCUUCACACAUGCCAGUCGCACGGAAAGGCCCUGCUUUUGUGGGGUGCUCGAGUGGCGAACGGGUGAGUAACACGUGAGUAACCUGCCCUUGACUUUGGGAUAACUUCAGGAAACUGGGGCUAAUACCGGAUAGGAGCUCCUGCUGCAUGGUGGGGGUUGGAAAGUUUCGGCGGUUGGGGAUGGACUCGCGGCUUAUCAGCUUGUUGGUGGGGUAGUGGCUUACCAAGGCUUUGACGGGUAGCCGGCCUGAGGGGGUGACCGGCCACAUUGGGACUGAGAUACGGCCCAGACUCCUACGGGAGGCAGCAGUGGGGAAUAUUGCACAAUGGGCGGAAGCCUGAUGCAGCAACGCCGCGUGCGGGAUGACGGCCUUCGGGUUGUAAACCGCUUUCGCCUGUGACGAAGCGUGAGUGACGGUAAUGGGUAAAGAAGCACCGGCUAACUACGUG
This 467-nucleotide ribosomal RNA is filed under the name uncultured bacterium. RNAcentral's name for it is "partial 16S ribosomal RNA". It matches the Rfam family "Bacterial small subunit ribosomal RNA", at positions 29 to 507 of the family's 1533-position model. The record is from RNAcentral.